UGGGGCAAAGGAGAAACAGGUGACCCA
RNAcentral lists this non-coding RNA (27 nucleotides) under Homo sapiens (human). The record is from RNAcentral. Lineage: Eukaryota; Metazoa; Chordata; Mammalia; Primates; Hominidae.